This 156-nucleotide ribosomal RNA is filed under the name Mucidosphaerium sphagnale. RNAcentral describes it as "5.8S ribosomal RNA". It matches the Rfam family "5.8S ribosomal RNA". From Rfam's summary of the family: 5.8S ribosomal RNA (5.8S rRNA) is a component of the large subunit of the eukaryotic ribosome. It is transcribed by RNA polymerase I as part of the 45S precursor that also contains 18S and 28S rRNA. The record is from RNAcentral. Lineage: Eukaryota; Viridiplantae; Chlorophyta; Trebouxiophyceae; Chlorellales; Chlorellaceae.
CAACUCUCAACAACGGAUAUCUUGGCUCCCGUAUCGAUGAAGAACGCAGCGAAAUGCGAUACGUAGUGUGAAUUGCAGAAUUCCGUGAACCAUCGAAUCUUUGAACGCAAAUUGCGCCCGCGGCUUCGGCCAAAGGCAUGUCUGCCUCAGCGUCGG